CGUGUGUGAAGAAGGCCUUUUGGUUGUAAAGCACUUUAAGCAGGGAAGAAAACUCUUCGGUUAAUACCCGGGGACGAUGACAUUACCUGCCCAAUAAGCCCCGG
This 104-nucleotide ribosomal RNA is filed under the name uncultured Gammaproteobacteria bacterium. RNAcentral describes it as "partial 16S ribosomal RNA". The record is from RNAcentral. Lineage: Bacteria; Pseudomonadati; Pseudomonadota; Gammaproteobacteria.